Long non-coding RNA from Mesocricetus auratus (golden hamster), 733 nucleotides. RefSeq lists it as uncharacterized. The record is from RefSeq and is a predicted model, not a curated record. The transcript has 2 exons. NCBI's taxonomy places the organism in Eukaryota, Metazoa, Chordata, Mammalia, Rodentia, Cricetidae.
AUGUAACCGCCAUUGGGGUAGGAAGCCUGGAAACCUCUCCGGAGCAAUUUUCAAUUGGAAAGGAAGAGCUACACAACAUGCCCUGAAGGAGCUGCUCCAGUUAGUCAGCUGGAAGUCCACAUCUGCAAUUUUAACAAGUUCUCCAGCAGGGAAAGUUACAAAGGACAUUAGUCCUCACUUAAAGAUACAAUAUUCUACAGCUCAAGUGCAGCUCUAAUGUCCGUAUUCCCAGUUUGGAGUAAUGGAGAAAAGUCCUUGUAAUUUUGGAAUCAAAAGAAAAGACUACUGUCAGAAGCUACAUGGGAGGAAAGUUAUAUGUGCAAAAGGCUCUUCUCCAUUUUUUUCAUGUUCUGGGAAGUUCCCACAUGCACACACAUGUGCAUGGAAUUAGAUCUCAUCCAAAAAAAGUAUGUGCAAGUGAAUAUGCUAUUCUUCUCAGUGCAUUUAAAGAAAACUCCAUACUUCUAUACUUCUCCCCAACGUCAUUAGUGUCCCAUAAUGAUUAUCAGAAAACACUAAGCAUGUUUUCAAGUUGAAAGAACUGCUAUGAGCCAUCCACAGAUGACUGACACUUGCUGGUAUGGAUCACUCAUUACCCGUGAAGCAUUUAGUAGAGGCACUUUAAGAUGAUAGAAAAACAGUUCCUCUAUAAAAUACAUUGUCAUAAUUCAUUGCAAUUAAUUUUAUUCAACUGUUCUCAUUGAUCAAGAAGUAAAGUAUUACUUUAAAACUU